AGCAUGGUGUAGUGGUUUGAGAACUGGACUAUGACUUUGGAGGUCAAGGGUUCAAUUCCCCACCAAGCCA
This is a non-coding RNA of Phrynosoma platyrhinos (Desert horned lizard), 70 nucleotides long. The record is from the annotation of a GenBank genome assembly. Lineage: Eukaryota; Metazoa; Chordata; Lepidosauria; Squamata; Phrynosomatidae.